GAUGAACGCUGGCGGCGUGCCUAAUACAUGCAAGUCGAGCGAACGGACGAGAAGCUUGCUUCUCUGAUGUUAGCGGCGGACGGGUGAGUAACACGUGGAUAACCUACCUAUAAGACUGGGAUAACUUCGGGAAACCGGAGCUAAUACCGGAUAAUAUUUUGAACCGCAUGGUUCAAAAGUGAAAGACGGUCUUGCUGUCACUUAUAGAUGGAUCCGCGCUGCAUUAGCUAGUUGGUAAGGUAACGGCUUACCAAGGCAACGAUGCAUAGCCGACAUGAGAGGGUGAUCGGCCACACUGGAACUGAGACACGGUCCAGACUCCUACGGGAGGCAGCAGUAGGGAAUCUUCCGCAAUGGGCGAAAGCCUGACGGAGCAACGCCGCGUGAGUGAUGAAGGUCUUCGGAUCGUAAAACUCUGUUAUUAGGGAAGAACAUAUGUGUAAGUAACUGUGCACAUCUUGACGGUACCUAAUCAGAAAGCCACGGCUAACUACGUG
Molecule: ribosomal RNA, 497 nt
Filed under: uncultured bacterium
Lineage: Bacteria
Description: partial 16S ribosomal RNA
Rfam family: Bacterial small subunit ribosomal RNA
Source: RNAcentral